This is a long non-coding RNA of Pan paniscus (pygmy chimpanzee), 396 nucleotides long. Lineage: Eukaryota; Metazoa; Chordata; Mammalia; Primates; Hominidae. The record is from Ensembl.
CUGCUGAAUUAGCCCAUAUUCUUUUCUACUGUGCCCACAUGUGCUUUGCCUGGUUUUAAUUUGUAUAAUUGCUCGAACCUACAUUUCCUUUGUUAUAGGUAUGUGAUUUCAGACCUCUGGCCUCUGCACCUGUUAAAGUCUGGAGUGCUCAGCUCUGUCCCUCAUGGAGUAGGUGCACCCCUCUCUAAGAGGAGCCUUUUCAUGCUCUUGAGGGCACUUGGGAAACUGUUUUGGGAGGUUAUUGUCCCUGUCAGUGGAAGAUGUAAAGAACGUAGCCAACCAAGUAAGAGGAUCACAAAGCCACUGUGUGUGUUAAAGCUGGGGCUUAGUUCCUCUUUCUGGCACGGGAACAUGGAAAACCUCCACCUCUGCUGCUGUAGGGGUGGGUGAAGACGA